UAUAAUUUGUAAACAAAUAUAGAACUGCUCCAAUUCUUGUUAGAAUAAGAACAACCAUGAAAUUAAACUUUAUUCUUAUUUUCGUGUUGUUAGCCGUAACCCUAACAAUGGCUUUCGAUCAAUCUCAACAGUCCCAAUUAAGAAACGAAGCUACAAGAAUUAAAAGAAGCACCCCAAGAUAUUGUUGGUCUUGCAACGAACGUUGUUCUGUUAUAAAAAAAGUUGCAAUUUGCGAUGAAGUCGUGGGGACAUGUAAAUGUGUAGAGAAGCCAUAAUUACCGAUGCGCCGUAAGCAAAAUAAGUUAAUUAACAAGUUUCUAAUUAUUGCUUAUGUAUUAAUAUUUAUGAUAAUUGUUAGCGCUUUAUAAUAAAUAUGAACAAACACUA
Onthophagus taurus is the source of this 387-nucleotide long non-coding RNA. RefSeq lists it as uncharacterized. The record is from RefSeq and is a predicted model, not a curated record. NCBI's taxonomy places the organism in Eukaryota, Metazoa, Arthropoda, Insecta, Coleoptera, Scarabaeidae.